GUUAAAAAGCUCGUAGUUGGAUCUCGGCGGUCUGAGGGCGGUUCGCUUGCUUAAGCGCUACUGCCCUAUAGGCCGUAGUUUUGCCAGAGGCCUCGGGGUGCUCUUAACCGAGUGUCCUGCGGCGCUGGCGGGUUUACUUUGAAAAAAUUAGAGUGCUCAAAGCAGGCUUUUACGCCUGAAUAUUCGUGCAUGGAAUAAUAGAAUAGGAAGUCGUUUCUAUUUUGUUGGUUUUCGGAAAUCGACUUAAUGAUUAAUAGGGACAGUCGGGGGCAUUUGUAUUCAAACGACAGAGGUGAAAUUCUUGGACCGUUUGAAGACAAACUACUGCGAAAGCAUUUGCCAAGAAUGUUUUCAUUAAUCAAGAACGAAAGUUAGAGGUUCGAAGGCGAUUAGAUACCGCCCUAGUUCUAACCAUAAACGAUGCCAGCUAGCGAUCUGCCGACGUUUUUUUUGUAGACUCGGCAGGAAGCUUCCGGGAAACCAAAGCAUUUGGGUUCCAGGGGAAGUAUGGUUGCAAAGCUGAAACUUAAAGGAAUUGACGGAAGGGCACCACCAGGAGUGGAGCCUGUGGCUUAAUUUGACUCACACGGGAAAUCUCACCAGGCCCGGACACUGGAAGGAUUGAC
This 626-nucleotide ribosomal RNA is filed under the name uncultured marine eukaryote. Its description in RNAcentral is "SSU rRNA". It matches the Rfam family "Eukaryotic small subunit ribosomal RNA", at positions 618 to 1244 of the family's 1831-position model. The record is from RNAcentral.